This 519-nucleotide ribosomal RNA is filed under the name uncultured bacterium. RNAcentral's name for it is "bacterial SSU rRNA". It matches the Rfam family "Bacterial small subunit ribosomal RNA", at positions 373 to 883 of the family's 1533-position model. The record is from RNAcentral.
GGACGAAAGUCUGACGGAGCAACGCCGCGUGAGUGAAGAAGGUUUUCGGAUCGUAAAACUCUGUUUUCAGGGACGAAUGUGCUAUUUGUGAAUAAUGAGUAGUAAUGACGGUACCUGACAAGAAAGCCACGGCUAACUACGUGCCAGCAGCCGCGGUAAUACGUAGGUGGCAAGCGUUGUCCGGAAUUAUUGGGCGUAAAGCGCGCGCAGGUGGGAUAAUCAGUCUGGUGUUAAAGUUCGGGGCUCAACCCCGUGAAGCAUUGGAAACUAUUAUUCUUGAGUGCAGGAGAGGAAAGUGGAAUUCCUAGUGUAGCGGUGAAAUGCAUAGAUAUUAGGAGGAACACCAGUGGCGAAGGCGACUUUCUGGACUGUGUCUGACACUGAGGCGCGAAAGCCAGGGUAGUGAACGGGAUUAGAUACCCCGGUAAUCCUGGCCGUAAACGAUGAGUGCUAAGUGUUGGAGGGUUUCCGCCCUUUAGUGCUGCAGCAAACGCAUUAAGCACUCCGCCUGGGGAGUAC